UACGUAGACGGUUGGAUAAGUCGGAUGUGAAAGCCCCGGGCUCAACCUGGGAAUGGCAUUCGAGACUGUUCAGCUAGGGUGCGGAAGAGGGAAGCGGAAUUUCCGGUGUAGCGGUGAAAUGCGUAGAUAUCGGAAGGAACACCAGUGGCGAAAGCGGCUUCCUGGUCCAGCACCGACGUUCAGGUACGAAAGCAUGGGGAGCAAACAGGAUUAGAUACCCUGGUAGUCCAUGCCAUAAACGAUGAGGACUAGACGUUGAGAGGGUAAGCCUCGCAGUGUCGUAGCUAACGCGCUAAGUCCUCCGCCUGGGGAGUACGGCCGCAAGGUUGAA
RNAcentral lists this ribosomal RNA (331 nucleotides) under uncultured bacterium. Its description in RNAcentral is "bacterial SSU rRNA". It matches the Rfam family "Bacterial small subunit ribosomal RNA", at positions 568 to 898 of the family's 1533-position model. The record is from RNAcentral.